GUUCUGCCACAAGGCACCCGGACGAGGUGCGCCGUACCCGGACAGCGACAAGACGGCGUCGA
This 62-nucleotide non-coding RNA is filed under the name Arthrobacter sp. The record is from RNAcentral. Lineage: Bacteria; Bacillati; Actinomycetota; Actinomycetes; Micrococcales; Micrococcaceae.